GACGAGGGGUCCUAGCGUUGUUCGGACUCACUGGGCGUAAAGCGUUUGUAGGCGGCUUUGCAAGUCGGGUGUGAAAUCCCACGGCUCAACCGUGGAAGUGCAUUCGAAACUGCAGAGCUUGAAUAUGGAAGAGGAGAGUAGAAUUCCUGGUGUAGUGGUGAAAUACGUAGAUAUCAGGAGGAAUACCGGUGGCGAAGGCGGCUCUCUGGUCCAAUAUUGACGCUGAGAAACGAAAGUGCGGGGAUCAAACAGG
This 253-nucleotide ribosomal RNA is filed under the name uncultured bacterium. RNAcentral's name for it is "partial 16S ribosomal RNA". It matches the Rfam family "Bacterial small subunit ribosomal RNA", at positions 524 to 776 of the family's 1533-position model. The record is from RNAcentral.